This 253-nucleotide ribosomal RNA is filed under the name uncultured Eubacteriales bacterium. Its description in RNAcentral is "uncultured Clostridiales bacterium partial 16S ribosomal RNA". It matches the Rfam family "Bacterial small subunit ribosomal RNA", at positions 524 to 776 of the family's 1533-position model. Lineage: Bacteria; Bacillati; Bacillota; Clostridia; Eubacteriales. The record is from RNAcentral.
UACGUAGGGGGCAAGCGUUAUCCGGAAUUACUGGGUGUAAAGGGAGCGUAGACGGUAAUGCAAGUCUGGAGUGAAAGGCGGGGGCCCAACCCCCGGACUGCUCUGGAAACCGGGCAACUUGAGUGCAGAAGAGGACAGUGGAACUCCAUGUGUAGCGGUGGAAUGCGUAGAUAUAUGGAAGAACACCAGUGGCGAAGGCGGCUGUCUGGUCUGCAACUGACGCUGAGGCUCGAAAGCAUGGGUAGCGAACAGG